This 360-nucleotide long non-coding RNA is filed under the name Ananas comosus (pineapple). RNAcentral's name for it is "long non-coding RNA (ACOM_LNC040134)". The record is from RNAcentral. Lineage: Eukaryota; Viridiplantae; Streptophyta; Magnoliopsida; Poales; Bromeliaceae.
UUAGAGUUAAGCUAAAAUACUAUCGAUAGCAAACGGGCUCCGUUGCCACCCAUUUGUUUUCGAUGAUAGAGCCUCCAAAUCGACGAUCGGCACCGUUGAACAUGAUCUAUACCACUUGAAGUGUUUAGAAAUCAAAUUUCAAAUCUUUUCGACAUCAUUUGCCUAAUGAUCAAAGGGUUUCAAAAUUUAUAAUUUUAAUGGUCGAUAUGAGGCGUUUUCUCGUUUAAUGUCGUAAAGAUAUCCUAAUCAAUUGAAUUUUUGUUAGAAAAUUCUUUAAACUAUUUAAAACAAGAUUUAUACUCUUGAUCUUGACUACAAGACUCCUAUCAUCAUUUUUUAAAGAAUAUUCAUUUUCAGCCG